This 934-nucleotide long non-coding RNA is filed under the name Monodelphis domestica (gray short-tailed opossum). Its description in RNAcentral is "lncRNA (ENSMODG00000041075.1)". The record is from RNAcentral. Lineage: Eukaryota; Metazoa; Chordata; Mammalia; Didelphimorphia; Didelphidae.
GGAUAAUAAUAGUACUUAAUUCCCAGAGUUGUUGUGAGGAUCAAAUGAGAUAAAAUUUGUAAGGCCCUUUGUAAAUCUUAUAGCUCCAUAUAAAGGUUAAGUAUUAUUAUUAUUAUAUCUAUCAUCAUCAUUUUUUCUUUAGUCACAAAAUUUCCCAUUUUUUAUGGAUACAAGAAAAUUUUAUUGAUAUGAUAUGAUAUGAUUCAUUCAACCUCGGAACUGGAAGGGAUUUUAAGCUUAUGCAACUUGCAUAGGAAGUCACUAAUGGGAUUUGGGUCUAUUGGACACUAAGUCUAUCCCUCUGUGGAGAUGCAGCAUAGAUGAUCUAUAUACCUACCAUCUUUUCCAGGUCAUAUUUCAGAAUGUCCAUAUGGUAUCCAGAAGAUCCAUUGUCUGUACUUUUAAUGUAGCCUAAAAUCUGGAGGGACAGGGCUACGAUUGGAAGAGUGACCACAUUCAUGUGAGACAUCACUUAUAUCAUUUGGAGCCAGUGACCUCAUCACUACAUCCAGAUCAAACUGCCUCUUCAUUGGAAACCAUUGGGAGGAUAUCACUAUUGGAAAGAUGGGUUCUCUGUCUCAGAUAAAGAAGGUCCCCAGGAAAUUCAGUGGUUGGACCAGAUCACACAUGUAACUGAAUGACAGAGGAAGGAUUUGAUCUCAGGGCUCACUUCGACACAAGCUAUUUCCAUCCUCCCACUUCUUCAAGCUGGGAGCUGGGACUAGAGCUGAUCCUGCCACCAGAUGGAGACCUUGGUUCCUGCUUCCAUGGGAAGUUGGGGAAGGAAAUUUGCACCUGGCCAGAGAGCGAGCUGGAGCAGCAUCCCUUAGGGGAGGGCCAGACUCUGCCCCUGCUUCAGUCAGGCCAAGGCCUGCAUAGUCCAAGGAAAAGUGGGGUCAAGCUGAGAGAGCUUAUGGAAAAGGGCAAAUUCUGA